Molecule: transfer RNA, 83 nt
Filed under: Flavobacteriia bacterium
Lineage: Bacteria; Pseudomonadati; Bacteroidota; Flavobacteriia
Description: tRNA-Leu(caa)
Rfam family: tRNA
About the family: Transfer RNA (tRNA) molecules are approximately 80 nucleotides in length. Their secondary structure includes four short double-helical elements and three loops (D, anti-codon, and T loops).
Source: RNAcentral
GCCCAGGUGGCGGAAUUGGUAGACGCGCCGGUCUCAAACACCGGUGGGGCAACCCGUGCCGGUUCGAGCCCGGCCCUGGGCAC